Rattus norvegicus (Norway rat) is the source of this 5757-nucleotide long non-coding RNA. RefSeq lists it as uncharacterized. Lineage: Eukaryota; Metazoa; Chordata; Mammalia; Rodentia; Muridae. The record is from RefSeq and is a predicted model, not a curated record.
CAUGAAAACAUGGCCACGGGGGCUGGCCAAUUGGAGGAAGAGCAGCCCAGUGGAACGUGGCAAGUUAUAACUCGGGGUUAUGAUAGGGAAGUAGACGUCAGCAGCGGCAGCAAAAGCCUUUUCAGUGUCAGCCAGCAAGUCAGCAUUCUAGAGUGAGAAACAGUUCCACAGGGCCCCGAGGGGAGUGGUAGGAGAGACCCCCGUACCCCCCAAAGUAGGUGGGAACUGAAGAUAGCUUUUAUAUCAUAAGGAAUUAUAACCUUGGAGCUUAGAGAUGGCUCAGAGGUUAAGGGCAUUGCGGCUCUUCCAGAGGAGCUGGGGUUGGUACCCAGCACCCACAUGGUGGCGCACAACCAUCUGUAACUCUAGUUCCAGGGGAUCCAACACACCCUGUUCUGGCUUCGAUGGUCACCAGGCAUUCGUGUGAGACACAUCCAUACUGCAGGAGACAGAGGGACAUAAAACAAAUGCAAAUAACCUUUCAAAAAUAGUAACUGGGGCCGGGGGGGGGGUGGAUUGGCUGGGCAUGUGGGAUAUGUGGCCCAUGGAACCGAGUGAGGCCCGCCCGCUGCUUGUUUUUGCUCUUUUUGGUAUCGGGAAUAGGAAUGAGGUCCCGGCCCUUGAAGAUCAGGAGCAAACCGUGGUAUGGAGGAACGUUCGGCUGUCAUCCUGUAAAAUUAGAGACACAGUGUCACAUUCCAUAUCUGAUUAGCUACCAUCACUGGUGUUAGUGUCCCUGGGCUGGAUCUCAACGCGAGCUGCUCCGCUUGUGACUGUCAAUCACUUGAGCAAAUAGGAUGACACUUGCUCUCUCCCCUCAACAACUUGAAUGUGGUGUCUGCUCAAAUCAUCUGCCUCCUCCAGCCCCGAGUCUGCUGUGACAUCUGAGAGCCGCCGGAUCCCGACUCCCCGGCUCACCUGAUUAACUUCCCUGAGCCAAGUUGCUAGCCAAAGGGGAGAAAACGGAGCAUCUGUGUCUGCCAAUCAGGAACUGGAGAGACUGCUCCGUGGUAAAGAGCCCGGGAUGCUCUGGCAGAGGACCCACACGGUAUCACAUAACCCUCUGUAACUCCAGCCUCAGAGGAUCUGACGCCCUCUUCUGGCCUCCUCGGGCACUGCACGCACGUGGUGCCCAGAUACGAGCAGGCCAAACACCCAUACUUGUAAAUUAAGAAUAAAUGAGUAAGAUAUUUAAGACCAUCACCGAGGCUCUUCUGCUCAGGACCGACUACCUUCGUCCUCUGAGGUGUACUUCAUGUUUUAGAAGGACAUGGGAGGAAGGAAUGGAAGUUUAUCUGUAAGCUGUUUCCUCUUUUAAACGUGCCGUUCCCCAUUGACAAGGACGACCGGUUCCACUUCCUUAUCUAAUCUGUCACAGGCUGGCCUGUGACUAGCCCUGGCCAAUAGGACAGAAAUGACGUCAGCAUGCUUCCAAGUCACAAGCGGCCCCCGUUAGUCUACCUUGAGUGUACCAGGCUGUCAGCAUCCCGCCUGCUGUUUUAAAUUGGCCCAUUUUGUCCCGGUCUAGCCGUAAGGAGGGGCCUCUUGAAGACAGAUGGGCAGGACGCCUCUGUGUGCUCAAGUUCAGUCACAGGGCAUGUGCUAGUCCCGCAGAUGACUCAUGGGUCCAGUUGCGUUCAGUCUGGAAUUGAAGGUGCUUCAAGUCAGAGCCACCGACCGGAGCCUGUCACCUCCCAGCAACAUGGUUGAUUGCCUCACUAAGCUUUGAGGGUAGCUUUUUAUAAGGUAGUAAGUUACAAGAGCAACUUAACUUAUGAGACAGACGUGAUAAGAUGUAGUUUGAAUUUUAAUUAAGGUCCUCCGACUAGCUAGAGGAGAAGCUAUUGUUUAUGGUUUAGAACAGCGUCGGCUAAAGGGCAUCGAACUCACUGAUUUUAUGCUCGGAAUGGAUGUGUAUUUGAGAUACGUGUAUAUAUUUUAUGUCUAGGUAUAAAUGUCCUAGAAUGUAGUUCAGUGGUGGAAUACUGGCCUGGGAUGCUUUUAAUCAUUCCAGAAAAGAAAAGAAAAGAAAAAAAAGAAAAGGAAGAAAGAUAGAAAGAAAGAAAUCCUAGAACUGGACAUACUAACACUUGGCCUAGCGAGUACGGUCACCGUCCUGAUGCCUGGGGCUUAGUGAAAUCACUGUCCAUGGUCACACCGUUAGUGAGUGCGGGCACAGGAUUUGAGUCCAUCUGACAUAUAUGGUUGCUGGGCAUUUGACAGGCAGCCCCGGGAGUGAUUUUCUGACAUUCUUUGGCCAAGGGUUUUCCUUCUCUCUUCCCAGCUCCUUGCUACAAUUCUCUCUUCUGUAGCCCAUUAGUCUCCUCCUUCCCACUGUCUCUUAGGGCAGCCUACCUGCACAGACUUCCGUUUCUGGCUCAGUGGAACCAUGAAUAGAAACCAUUGUAAAGCUCUCCUGGGUUUAUAACCCUCAUUUCACACUCCAACUAUGCCUACCCACAUCCAGUGACUGUUUGGAAGCAGCGUGGUAAUAUAUUAUAUUCAUAAUAAAUAUAAUAAUUGCUGGCCAUCUUCCUUAAUAUUUAAAAGCUAAAACUAGAAACUCCUAAACAGAUAGGACGUAUUUUGACCUGUCCCUAAGCCAUAUGACGCGAAUUAAUCCGCAGAACCCCGCGGUAGAGAGAACUUCCGCUAGCUGUCCGAUUGACUCCUGACCUUCACAGCUGUCCGAUCGACCCCUGACCUUCGCAGCUGUCCAAUUGACCUCUGACCUUUGCAUAUGUGCCUCUUCCUCCUUCAUUACAAACUAACUAAAUAAAUAAAUGUAAAACACCGAAACAAAUCAGGACGAGCCCCACAAACCUGUGUUUUGAAGAUUAGUUUCAUAAAGGUUUUAUCUAUUCAGGCAAAACCUUACACAUUUUUGGCAGGUUAAAAACAAUGAGUCAUGUAUAAAAAAAGUUCCAUAAAGCUGUAGAAGAAAUGCUAAGGAAUCAUGAGAACGGAGAACGCUUGGAUUUCAAGAACAAGGCUGUAUUUGGUUAUGGUGUACAGAGAACAUGUCGAUAAACGAAAGUGAGCAUGCGCAAAUCCACCCAGCCCUGCACCGGGCUUAGGAGCCUCUGCUCAGAGCGCUUCUCAGCCUCCAUACCUAGAGCCUAUCCCUUCCCUUCCUUCUCAGCCUCCAACCCUCCUGUUCCUUCAAUGAAGGCAAUCUCUUUGGACUUAGCUUUAAGGUCCGUCCCCAGACCAUCAGAACACUUUUUCCAUAAACUGUUAAAAGGUUUUAGAAAUUACCAUCUGGUGGGGGAGGGGGCAUGGACUUAGCUCGGUGCUUGAUGUUUCAGCAGCACCAUGUGCAGGGCCUGUACUCAAUCCUUGCAUUGGGAGGAGGGGACAGGCUAACCCCUGGGGGCUGUUUGCCAUAGCCCAGCCUACUUGGUGAUUCCAGGCUAGUGAGAGACUCUGCCUCAAACAACGAAGAUGGAUGGUGCCUGAAGAAGGAUAUCUGGCCUCCACAUGCACACACAUGUGCAGCCGUGCACACAUGAACCCCCCCCCCCUCUCUCUCUGUUUACCAGUAGCUUAAUAACUUGACCAUUGAGUUAAGGGUGUGUAUGAAAGAUGAAAAGUUAAAAUUCGCAUUAACCAGAAUUUCCUACAAACGCAGUUUAUACAUAGAAGAAUCAAUGGAGUGGCUUUUCAGCAAGAACCACUGGGCUCUCCAAAUGUUAACGUGGGCUCAUGCUGCAUCUGCAAUCCUGGCUCUGGGUUUGCAGUCAAUGUGGAUGAGAGAGACGGGGCUGUCAUUCCAGCAACAUAGUUAGUUUAUGGUGGGAGGGGGAUGUUGCUUGCAGGGAAAGUUGCUUCUCAGAUUCUCUACUUGGGAAGUAGUCAGGGAGGCCUCUAUGUUUGGAUGCAAAGGCUGUGAGUGUUCAAGUCCUUAGCUGGGAAAUCCCCUGAGUUAGACCAGAUGAAUCUCAGGACCCUGUCCGAGCUGGUGUGUGUGUGUGUGUGUGUGUGUGUGUGUGUGUGUGUGUGUGUGUGUGAUUAACCAUUUUUCUUGUCUGUUCUCCCAGAAGCCUUCUGACUGCCAAGUGUUAGCUUGGUUUAGACAAACUGACUCCAUUCUAUUAGGGAAAGCAUCUGUAAAUGCAGUCUAGAGUGGGAAUUUAUCAAGGUGUUUUCUACAGGUCCACUUAUGGGACUCAUGUAGAACAUACACUUGAGAUGCUGUCUUGGGCGGUCUCCCCUGUCUGGGAGAGUGUGUUCGCGGUGGCUCCGGGUUAGAUGCAGGACAAACCGCAUCUUCCUCUUCCUUCCGCUUUUCUUCCUCUUCUCCCCAAGGCUGUCUCAUUGAGAAAGAGCCCAUAAAAUGGACCCACAAAAUAUGAAAUCCCGUUUUUUCACUGUAUUCAGAGCGGUGCGACCAUCAGUAGUUGUUAGGACACAUUUUUUUCCCCAUUCCAGAGGCCUCACGCUGCUCCAGAGCCAGCUCCUGUCUUACCAGCUGCCAACCCAGAACACGGAAGCGUUUUCUGUCUCUGUAAAUUAUUCUCUCAGAGGCGUUUCUAUAAAAAUAGAAUAGUGCAACAUAUCCUGCAACUGACUUUAAAAAUUAGGAAUAAUGUUCUCAAGGUUCACCCGUGUAACUGCUAGUAUUUUGUGCUUUUUUUAAAUUGUCAAAUAGUAUUCUACGAUGCGGACACGCCACAUUCAAGUUAGAGUUACUGGGAGUGUGUAUGUUUACACUUUUUGGCUUCAGCUAUAUACAGUGCUGUGUGAGUCUUUGUGUAGACGUGGUUGCAAUUCUCUUGGGUAGAUAGCAGAGGAGGAAGCGCCAAGUCAUGCUAACUUGAUAUUGUCUCUUGAGAGACCGCCAGAGUGCUCCGGAAGUGACCUCAUCAUUUUCCAAGCCUUCCCAGAGUGCGCAGGCUCCCGCUCCUUCGUGUCCCUCAGUGCGCAGGCUCCGACUCCUUCGUAUUCUGCAGUGCUAUGGCUCCUACGCGUUCCUGUGGUGCUAAAGAGGAUAGAGCACCUCGGCCUGCCAGUUAGUUUUCCUAAUGGCCACUGAUGCAGUGUAUUUUUCUCCGGUGACUCUCGGCUAUUUGUGUAUCUUCUCUGGAGAAAUAUCCAUUUCAAGUCUUGGCUCAGUUUUACCUUCAGUUGUCUUUUUUCACUUCGGAGAAAUAAGAGUUCACUGCAUAUCCUACAUACGGACUUCUUUCCAGAUGAACUUUGGAGUUUUCCCUACAUUCUCUGGUCCUUUUCACUUUCUUGCUGAUGUCUUUUUUUGAAACAGAGAAAUUGAAUUGCUAGGAAGUUCAGUUUGUUAUUUUCUUUGUUGCUUUUGAUGUUGACGUCAUAUGUAACAUACGGAGGUCCCAGAGACCAGCCACAAUGAUUUUGAACUCUUAUCUCAACAACAAGAAAGUGUACCCUGAAGUUAACAGCACCCCACCUUACAGUCUUUCCUGAUACCUCUGGGUUCGGUGCAAUAUGGGGGACUCCCUUCGUUGGUGGGGUUUCUCCUUCUCUGACCUUGUUGGGGUUCGGUGCAAUAUGGGGGACUCCCUUCGUUGGUGGGGUUUCUCCUUCUCUGACCUUGUCUGGGGAAUUCUCAGCCCACACAUGUGUCUCUGCCUGAAGUGGAAACUUCCAGGUUCUUUGGAAAGUCAGUUAUAUCAAACGAUGUUUUGCCAGGGCACACAGGUGAGAGGAUAUUUUGUUAUAGCACACACAUAAAGGACGUGCGGUGUUUCGCUCUGCCUCGCUCGCUGGUCUUCGUUGAUGAAU